UUAUGGCUCAGGACGAACGCUGGCGGCGUGCCUAACACAUGCAAGUCGAGCGAGGAGAUCCUUCGGGAUGAUCCUAGCGGCGGACGGGUGAGUAACACGUGGGCAACCUGCCUCAUAGAGAGGAAUAGCCUUCCGAAAGGGAGAUUAAUACCUCAUAACAUUGCAGUUUCGCAUGGAACAGCAAUUAAAGGAGUAAUCCGCUAUGAGAUGGGCCCGCGGCGCAUUAGCUAGUUGGUGAGGUAAUGGCUCACCAAGGCGACGAUGCGUAGCCGACCUGAGAGGGUGAUCGGCCACAUUGGGACUGAGACACGGCCCAGACUCCUACGGGAGGCAGCAGUGGGGAAUAUUGCACAAUGGGGGAAACCCUGAUGCAAGCAACGCCGCGUGAGUGAUGACGGCCUUCGGGUUGUAAAGCUCUGUCUUCAGGGACGAUAAUGACGGUACCUGAGGAGGAAGCCACGGCUAACUACGUGCCAGCCGCUGC
This 484-nucleotide ribosomal RNA is filed under the name uncultured bacterium. RNAcentral describes it as "bacterial SSU rRNA". It matches the Rfam family "Bacterial small subunit ribosomal RNA", at positions 17 to 518 of the family's 1533-position model. The record is from RNAcentral.